This 317-nucleotide ribosomal RNA is filed under the name uncultured bacterium. Its description in RNAcentral is "bacterial SSU rRNA". It matches the Rfam family "Bacterial small subunit ribosomal RNA", at positions 28 to 334 of the family's 1533-position model. The record is from RNAcentral.
GAUGAACGCUAGCGACAGGCUUAACACAUGCAAGUCGAGGGGCAGCGGGGGAGUAGCAAUACUCCCGCCGGCGACCGGCGCACGGGUGAGUAACACGUAUGAAACCUGCCCGUAGCAGGGGGAUAAGCGGAAGAAAUUCCGUCUAAUACCGCGUAACAACCCAUGGAGGCAUCUCCGUGGGUUUAAAGGAAGCGAUUCCGGCUACGGAUGGUCAUGCGUCGCAUUAGCUAGUUGGCGGUGUAACGGACCACCAAGACGACGAUGCGUAGGGGUUCUGAGAGGAAGGUCCCCCACACUGGUACUGAGACACGGACCAG